UUCGAACUAUGAAUGAGUUUGCCCCAAAGAAAUGGAGUCGGAUUUGUUCAGAACAUUUUUCUGACCAUAUGAAGGAAACAGUCGGGAAUAGAGUUGUGUUAAAACCGAAUGCGGGGCCAACUAUAUUCAAAAAUGCUGUGAAUGUAGACUACAGUGAUGAAGGGGCUAAAGGUUUACUAGAUGCUGCUAGUUAUAUAGAAACACAACUCAAUAUUCCUGUGAAUGAAGUAUGUAUUGGAAAA
Molecule: long non-coding RNA, 242 nt
Organism: Xenia sp. Carnegie-2017
Lineage: Eukaryota; Metazoa; Cnidaria; Anthozoa; Malacalcyonacea; Xeniidae
Exons: 2
Source: RefSeq, a predicted model, not a curated record